GGGCCACAAUGAGAGGAAGAGUGAGGAAACGAGAGGCAGAGAUGGUAGAGACGCAGAAAAUAGAGAUAAAAGAGGAUGAGAAAGGAAGAGAAAGGAAACAAGAGUCCUCCUGUAGGGUCAAGAACUGCAUGGCUAUGGGUUUUGCAGCAGCAGCAGGAUUCACAAUUGCAUUGAUCGGGGUAGCGGUCGCAAACAUCUGCUGGGCGGAGGAGAUGGUUUACCUUGUCCCAACCUGAGAUGAAUGCCCUUCUCUUUAUUUUCUAAUCACAAUAAAUCCUUCUCUUUUUUUUUGGCUUAGUUUCAUUAAGUACCAGUUUGGUGAUAUACAUUGACUGAAUAGUCUGAAAACAAACUUGAAUAGUUCUACUAUGAGAAUCUGUUCUUUCUUUUUUGUUCUCCAUGAAAUAUGUGGAUAAUUUUUGUGGUUCA
RNAcentral lists this long non-coding RNA (429 nucleotides) under Phoenix dactylifera (date palm). RNAcentral's name for it is "long non-coding RNA (PDAC_LNC008551)". The record is from RNAcentral. Lineage: Eukaryota; Viridiplantae; Streptophyta; Magnoliopsida; Arecales; Arecaceae.